GGGGGCUUAGCUCAGCUGGGAGAGCGAUAGCUUUGCAAGCUAUAGGUCAUCGGUUCGAUCCCGAUAGCCUCCACCA
This 76-nucleotide transfer RNA is filed under the name Haematospirillum jordaniae. Its description in RNAcentral is "tRNA-Ala". It matches the Rfam family "tRNA". From Rfam's summary of the family: Transfer RNA (tRNA) molecules are approximately 80 nucleotides in length. Lineage: Bacteria; Pseudomonadati; Pseudomonadota; Alphaproteobacteria; Rhodospirillales; Novispirillaceae. RNAcentral also lists the same sequence under 4 other names. The record is from RNAcentral.